UAGGGAAUCUUCGGCAAUGGACGGAAGUCUGACCGAGCAACGCCGCGUGAGUGAAGAAGGUUUUCGGAUCGUAAAGCUCUGUUGUAAGAGAAGAACGAGUGUGAGAGUGGAAAGUUCACACUGUGACGGUAUCUUACCAGAAAGGGACGGCUAACUACGUGCCAGCAGCCGCGGUAAUACGUAGGUCCCGAGCGUUGUCCGGAUUUAUUGGGCGUAAAGCGAGCGCAGGCGGUUAGAUAAGUCUGAAGUUAAAGGCUGUGGCUUAACCAUAGUAGGCUUUGGAAACUGUUUAACUUGAGUGCAAGAGGGGAGAGUGGAAUUCCAUGUGUAGCGGUGAAAUGCGUAGAUAUAUGGAGGAACACCGGUGGCGAAAGCGGCUCUCUGGCUUGUAACUGACGCUGAGGCUCGAAAGCGUGGGGAGCAAACAGGAUUAGAUACCCUGGUAGUCCACGCUGUAAACGAUGAGUGCUAGGUGUUAGACCCUUUCCGGGGUUUAGUGCCGUAGCUAACGCAUUAAGCACUCCACCUGGGGAGUACGACCGCAAGGGUUG
This 551-nucleotide ribosomal RNA is filed under the name uncultured bacterium. RNAcentral describes it as "bacterial SSU rRNA". It matches the Rfam family "Bacterial small subunit ribosomal RNA", at positions 355 to 897 of the family's 1533-position model. The record is from RNAcentral.